This 217-nucleotide unclassified non-coding RNA is filed under the name soil metagenome. Its description in RNAcentral is "partial contains 5.8S ribosomal RNA, internal transcribed spacer 2, and large subunit ribosomal RNA". The record is from RNAcentral.
AACUGAUACUACCUGCGGGAACCUGCGGAAGGAUCAUUACCGAGUUUACAACUCCCAAACCCAUGUGAACAUACCUAUCGUUGCUUCGGCGGGAUCGCCCCGGGCGCCUUGUGUGCCCCGGAUCCAGGCACCCGCCGGGGGACCUUAACUCUUGUUUUAUUUAGAAUCUUCUGAGUAGUUUUUACAAAUAAAUAAAAACUUUUAACAAUGGAUCUCU